AUCCGGGUUGCGGACAGUGUCUGGUGGGUAGUUUGACUGGGGCGGUCUCCUCCUAAAGAGUAACGGAGGAGCACGAAGGUUGGCUAAUCCUGGUCGGACAUCAGGAGGUUAGUGCAAUGGCAUAAGCCAGCUUGACUGCGAGCGUGACGGCGCGAGCAGGUGCGAAAGCAGGUCAUAGUGAUCCGGUGGUUCUGAAUGGAAGGGCCAUCGCUCAACGGAUAAAAGGUACUCCGGGGAUAACAGGCUGAUACCGCCCAAGAGUUCAUAUCGACGGCGGUGUUUGGCACCUCGAUGUCGGCUCAUCACAUCCUGGGGCUGAAGUAGGUCCCAAGGGUAUGGCUGUUCGCCAUUUAAAGUGGUACGCGAGCUGGGUUUAGAACGUCGUGAGACAGUUCGGUCCCUAUCUGCCGUGGGCGCUGGAGAACUGAGGGGGGCUGCUCCUAGUACGAGAGGACCGGAGUGGACGCAUCACUGGUGUUCGGGUUGUCAUGCCAAUGGCACUGCCCGGUAGCUAAAUGCGGAAGAGAUAAGUGCUGAAAGCAUCUAAGCACGAAACUUGCCCCGAGAUGAGUUCUCCCUGAGACUUUAGGUCUCCUGAAGGAACGUUGAAGACGACGACGUUGAUAGGCCGGGUGUGUAAGCGCAGCGAUGCGUUGAGCUAACCGGUACUAAUGAACCGUGAGGCUUAACCUU
This 693-nucleotide ribosomal RNA is filed under the name Salmonella enterica subsp. enterica serovar Oranienburg. RNAcentral's name for it is "partial 23S ribosomal RNA". It matches the Rfam family "Bacterial large subunit ribosomal RNA", at positions 2238 to 2925 of the family's 2925-position model. RNAcentral also lists the same sequence under 12 other names. The record is from RNAcentral. Lineage: Bacteria; Pseudomonadati; Pseudomonadota; Gammaproteobacteria; Enterobacterales; Enterobacteriaceae.